Molecule: long non-coding RNA, 5212 nt
Organism: Maniola jurtina (meadow brown)
Lineage: Eukaryota; Metazoa; Arthropoda; Insecta; Lepidoptera; Nymphalidae
Exons: 4
Source: RefSeq, a predicted model, not a curated record
GAUUACGAAUCUUGUAUUCUUCAAAAUUUGUCACCAAAUUUUCUUUAACGGCCCGAAGUAGCACACAUCUAAAGGUUGAGUCAGACGUGACGAGUUUGGAGGUAAACACAUGAAACGGAUGUUGUUUCUUCGCAGAGUUUUACAAUUUUAGGAUUGUGUGAUGCUAAAUUAUCUCCUAUGAUUACUUUUAGACCAGAUUUGGUUCUAGCCCAAGGUAUAAUUAUUGUUUGAAACCAGUCUUCGAAAAUCACAGUAUCGAACCACCCAGAGGAAGAACGGUUAUAUCGUGCACCCUUCGGCCAAUUUAUUGGCUGUUUAAAUGUUGAACUCUAUAAACAACAUAAGGUGGUAAAGUGAUACCAGCAGCGGUAAUAGCAAACAUAACUGAAAUGGCACCUUUGCUGUGGUUUAACACUCUUUCCGGGUAUUUUACACCUCUUCAAAAUAAGCAUCGUUGUGCACCAGGAUUAUCUGCAAAAUUGGUUUCAUCAUAGUUAACCAAGUUUUCUUUAGGUGCUCCAUCUAAAGAAAUUCUUUCAGAAAUCUCGUCUGUAUUUUUUUCGCACGACUCCUCUUUAUAUUUUGAGUAGAACGACUAGUGAGCUCAGUCUUAUGUCUGUCGGUUUAAAAAUAAAUAUGCCCAUUUUCUGCCGGGAUGUUUGUUAUGGAAGAUAUCCCUUCCUGCCAUUUGCUUCCAAAUAAUUUUUAACUACAAUUCUUAAAUCUAAGAGUGUUAAAGGGCUGUCACCGGCGGCUAUUAAAACCCUCACGAUGUUAUUUUCGUCUUUUUCUGUAAGACGCCUUUUAGCUCCAGGAUUUUGUGGAUGCUUUUUGUGUAACUUAUUUAUCUAAAAGUGUUCUCCGCGGAAUAUCAAACGUUUUCUCGGCUUCAUAUGAGGAUAUUUUUUAUUUCUCAUUAAUUCUAAAGCUAUUUCUACUAUAGACAUGUCAUGUUGACUAGUAUACUGUCGCUUCUUUUUUGUAGGAUUAAUUUUUGCUCUUUUACUUAUUGUGAAGACCUGCAAUUAUUCCAGAUUCAUUUAUUUUAUUACUGUACAUGUACUAAAGUUAGAUUUGAUUCUAUAAAAAAGCUGCUGAAUAGUCAACUCAACACCAAUUUUACACAGCAUUCAAAACUAAUUUUAGUGAAAACACCACCUUGUUUCGUGUAAUAUUAAAUUUCUUCUUUUAGGUUAUAAUAGUAAAGGUAAUAUCUACGUGUUUUAAUUAAUAUAUCAUUUAAAUAUAAUUUGCCAAUUUCGUCAAAUGUUAUAUUAUCUCAAAUAAUAGGUACAAAUGAAUUUAUCAAAGAUUAAGUGACAACCCUAGGGGUAGGCGAAGUACGUUACCAUCAUGGCGGCCGCAGCUACCUUGUUGAUAAAUCUUGAUGUAACUCAUUAUCUACUUAUGAUAUAUUGAAAACAAUUGUACAACAUAAAAGACGAUAAAGUAGUGAUUUUAUUUUACAAUUAAGUUUAGCCAUUAGUAGAUUCUUGGCGGCACGUUUUUUGACCGGUAGAAAUAAACAUCUCACUUCCCGCAGCAGACAAAUGGCACUGGUGGCUAUUGUUGUGAAGUUAGUUACAAAUGGUCAGGAAUAGUAUUGCCGUAGAUAACACUAGUAUUGUAUGGGGGGGGGGGGGGGGGGGGGGUGUUAUAAUUUUAUUUCGUCAUUUUACUUCAGCAUUGGGUUUAUCAGAUCAAGGUAGCAUGGGAACGUGUCGUCAUUAUAUACUAAUUAACAAAAAACAACCUGUAUAUAUUUUUUAAUUUUGGAAAUACAACAUCUAUCCAGAACUUAGUUGCAGUAUUCAUAACAGAUACAAUGCUGCUGUAUGAUUCUCUAGUGUAAAAUUAUAUUUACAUCGGUUGCACUUAGGAUGUUACCUUAGAUGUAGCACAUUUGCUAUUCUACUAAUUGAGUUCGACUCGUGGCUGCGACACUAGCGCCUCACAUGCGAGUGUGACGGAUGUAGGAAACGCAUUUUUGACAUUUAUGUAUGAAAAGCGUUUAAAAAAAUAAGUAAUAACCAUAAUCAGCUUUCAUUCCCCCUGUCACCCCUACAUUUUUAUUUUAUUAACGUUUUGCUUGGACGAUCCUAAAUCAGCAAUUCCAGCUUUUUAUAUUGUUAUGAAUAAAUUUUUAUAUUAUUUCCAGCCAAUCAGUGCAAGGAGCGUUGGCAGAAACUGCGAGAUAACUUCACAAAAGCCAUAAAAAACCGAAAAGGCAAGCACGCUAGCACUUUUCGCUUCCUAGCACACCACUACCACCAUCGACACCAUCUAAUUCUGAAUCUGAAAUGCGUCCAAGCACUUCUAACUCGAACGAGACACCACCACACUCAGGCAAAGAUGUUGCUACAGUCUUUCAAGAAUUUCUUUAAGAGAAAAGAAAGCGUGAUCCCCAUAGCGACCCAAUACGUAAUUUUUUCCUAUCUAUGUCAGAUAUAGUUGAAACGUUUCCAAAAGGGAUCCAAGCAAGAAUCCGCUCCUAAAUCCUUUCCGCAACCUCCACAGUGCAGUUAUAAAAAAAGUACAACUUUUUAUUGCUCGACAAUAAAGACGCAAGACAUUGCUCGGAUGCACCGUAAUUUCUAUAACUUGCGAAAUAAACUUGAUCAAGAUAAUUUCAUAUUGCAGCACUGCCGUAUUGUGAAAUGUUUUGGAAUUAGACUAAAAAAUGAAUCUAGAGGACCAAAAAAUCUUAGUGCAGAAUACUACGUAACGAUUAAAAAUCCGCACAAACAGAUAAGAGUUUGCAAAUCUGCCGUGAAAGUUGACAAUUUUGAACUGGUCAUCAUCGAUAACUAGAAUAAAUGAGACAUCUCAAAAUAUGUUUGUAUAACGGAAAACGACGCAAUCUCUAGUCUACCUUUGAUCCUUGAAAAAGAAGCGGCUACGUGAUGGCAAGGCGUGAAGGAAGGCAUAAAGACGUGAUGAGACUUCCCAGAACCGGCUGUGAGACGCGUUCGCACCCAAGAAAUCCGGCUAUAUGAUUUUUCAGGAUAUUAGCGCAUCGGCAACAGGAGAACAUGCUAACCGAAACAUUUGUAGCCGAAAACAGGGCACUGUUGGCCUUACUCCCUGCCAUUUAACGAAGAACAGCAGAUGGAUGUAAUUUACGGUCAGUUGCAUCAGAAGAUUCGGGAGAAGGUGCAACGCCAUACAGUGAAUACCUUUGAUGAAUUAAUAACUUCAGCCCGCAACGAUGAGCAAUUGCUCAGAGAAAAGACCUCUAUUUCGGCAGACAUUCCGGAUGAAGUAAAGUUUAAGAAACUGAGGUGUGACUUCUGCCGACCCAUCGGACACACCACGGAGGCUUGCAGGAAAAAAAAUCGGCACCACGCUAUGAAGGUCUCUGUAGGGGCCCUCGCCGUCACAGCCGGCUAUCUCAUGCUACGGUUGUGGCGCGCCAAACGUGGUACGCAGUCGGUGUCCUACCUGCAAUCCCACCAAGCAAGCCGUUAAAACAGAAGCGCAGGUUGAUUUUUGCGCACUGAAUGUGAGGACGGACGUCCGACCGAGGCCCGUAAUCGGGAUAGGCAUAUAUGACGCAGUAGGGAUUGCCUAUGUGGAUACCAGCUUUACACUCAGCUCAAAGCCCGCGGAUGUAAGUUCCUGAAACCAACCGUGACGAUCACCUUAGCAGACGGGAUUAAGCGAAGGGAAGACGUCCUUUUAGCAACGGUGCCUGUGCUGUGCGACCGCACGAUGCCAACUUACUGUAUUAUAACAGAUGUAUCAGAUAUUGUAACAGUGUGAAUGUUAAUAAUUGUUCUAUUGAGUGGACGAAGACACUCAUUCUAGAAGGAAAAGAAUGUCAAGUUAAAAGAAAUGAAAUAAAUAAAGAAACUUCGAGCGUCCCAAAAAACUGAGAAGAAGACCCUCUGGCUAUACAUCUCCUUAGUACCUUGACUGAAGUAAUUCAGGUGUUUAAGUUUGUAAGGGAAAAAAUGUAGUAUGCUAGAGAUAUAGUCAAUGGUAUAAAGAAAAAUGCUUCUGUGAUUUGUCAUUUUAUUUUGUAAAAACAAACACAAUAAAAGUCUUCUUCAUAUGUGAUAUAAACGAUACAUGGUUCUUUUAUUUGAUGAACAGUUCCAAUAAUGAUUCGUCCUAAGUGUUAGAAAAUACAGGUAUUGUAUAAAACUCAAUAUAGAUGUAUCUGAACAUAGAUGUUUCAAAAAUUGGUCUGGUAGUGCAAAUGGUAUAGAAUCAGACAUUAUUGCAGGAGGUUUUGCUAAAAGUACAGAAAUGCAUGGAAUAGAAUAUAAAUCAUUUGCAACGAAAUAUCUGCAACAGAAUUUAUAGCACUUGGAAAAAAAACAAAUAACCACAACGACUUUGCAUCAGUGAAGCUUGGAAAAAGGUUGUAGAAAACUUUUUGCGUUUAAGAAAGGCGGUAACUGGAGUAGUAAAUUAUAGAGAAUCACAAGAGCUUUUAAAUCACGAUAAAAGGAUUAAAUGUCUGAAGAAAGAUAUUAAAAAUACAGCAAAUUACGAGACCAUGGUAAUUACGUUGCUUACUUUUGUAACGCAGAAAAAUACAAAAACGACUCGAAUUUGGUUCCUGAUCUUCAACGUACCGGUUGGUUAAUGGACUGACGCGGACGUCCAGAACCACAAAAUGAAAGGGUUCGAAAACUUCCAGUGGCUAAAAAACAAAAAAAAAAAUAUUUAUUGUUACAGGCAAUGUAUGCAAGCAGCGGUGGACCAGGAUCAAAGCAACCAUGGAAAAGGAUAGAACAUCAACUAUCCUGAUGUUACCAAAAUUGAAGCACAGGCAUUUUACAUGGAUGACCUAGUUUCAGCUAUGUAGUUUAUUAAAAUCAGUUUCACAUGUGUUAACACAGUUGCAAAACGGAAAGUUAUCGGCGCUCAGCAUUGAUAAUAAUUAAAGCAAAAUUAGAUGAGAAAAACUACUGCAGUAAUUUAUCGGCAGAACACAUGAAAAACAUGAACAACUUCUCAGCUAUCCUACGAGAUACAAUAAGGUACCAGAAAUCAGAAAUUGGCGGAAAUAUAUCUUGAUCUUUUGUGUGAACACGUGCACCAAUCAGCCCGCUCGGAUGAUAAAAAGAGCAUUAAAACAUUAUCUAGUGACUGUGCAGACAAAACAAAGGCAUAAAUAGCCAGAGUCGCCUGUUAUUUUUAGACAAUAGGAUAAAAAUUAAAGCGCUGGCAAGUACAAUAAAAAGUUUUUUUACGAAAAACU